This is a long non-coding RNA of Rosa rugosa (rugosa rose), 451 nucleotides long. RefSeq lists it as uncharacterized. The transcript has 2 exons. NCBI's taxonomy places the organism in Eukaryota, Viridiplantae, Streptophyta, Magnoliopsida, Rosales, Rosaceae. The record is from RefSeq and is a predicted model, not a curated record.
UUUAGUUCUAAGAAGUUGACUAUUCUAGAUUUUUUUUUGCAUAGUUGGUAUUUAAUAUAAUAUUUUUAGGGUAUUCCGGAGCAAAAGACCGACAAGGAUUGUGGAUAUUUUAUAAUGAGAUACAUGAAGGAAAUAGUGGAGGAUAAAAACUUGGACUUUUUCAGCAAGUGGGAGAGAAGAAGUAAAGCAGCAUAUUUCCAGGAGGAUAUUGAUGUGGUCAGAACUGAGUGGGCAAAGUUUGUGGUUAAAACAUAUAUGUAAGAUUUGUGUUGGUACUUCUUGGAGACCUAGUUCAAAGUUUGUGGUUAUUUUUGGUUGGACAGGAUCAGUAGCUAGUACUUUGAAUUGAUAUGUAAGAAAUACUUUAACAAUUGGGUACUCUAUUUCUAGUUUCGGUGUGUUUUGGCAAUGUAUGACAAUGAUGUGCUAUAGUAAAUGACAUUUGAACCAA